CCAAGGCCUGCCCUCUCGGCAGGAGGACGAAUGCUGGGGAGGCAGAGACCGCGCUGCCCUGGGCACAUGCCCAUUCCCCUGGAGCCCCAGGCCCUGCUCUCCAUGCCAGGACACAGGCAGGGUCAGCAAAGGUGAAGGCGGGAACACAGGAGGCCGAGAGCCACAGAUACUGCCCAAGAGGAGCCUCCUGAGCGGCCAUCUGAGAGGAAGCCUCUCCCUGCCACGGACGCCCAGCAGGCCCUACCUGGCGAUGAGCAGCUCCACCAGGUGCAGGUGGCCGCAGGUGGCCGCAGCAUGCAGAGGCGUCCAACACUCACUGUCACAGGCAUUGAUGUUGGCCCCAGCCUCCAGGAGCUGCUGCACCAUCUCUCGGAAAUCAUCAAUGCAGCACUGCAAACCGUGCCACGUGAGCGACCAGAGCACGGGGGCCAACCCCCACCCUGCCCACACCCAGUGCAGGCUGACCUGGUGCAGGGCCGUCAGGCCGUCCUCGUUGGCCAAGUCAGGGCUAACCCCACUCCCAAGGAACUGGCGGACUGCAAAAAGGUGGCGAGGCCUCCCGGGAGGGCUCCUGUCCACAUGGGAAGAUGCAGGCCAGACACUGCCGGCUCCUCUUUACUCUCUGCUCCGGAGGGAGGCAGGAAGGAGUCUCAAGGGCCACCACAGUGCCUCUUCCCCCCAGACCCCAGAGCACCAGAAGUGGAACCCACACAGCUGGGGCUGCAAGCGUGGGGCACAGAUCAUUUCGGGCAGCGGCCUCCAGAAGGACAACACUGGGAGGGAAGAGGACCUGCUUCAGGGGCCCUUGGCUGGCUGCCUCC
Molecule: non-coding RNA, 821 nt
Filed under: Pan troglodytes (chimpanzee)
Lineage: Eukaryota; Metazoa; Chordata; Mammalia; Primates; Hominidae
Source: RNAcentral